RNAcentral lists this ribosomal RNA (465 nucleotides) under Vreelandella stevensii. RNAcentral describes it as "partial 16S ribosomal RNA". It matches the Rfam family "Bacterial small subunit ribosomal RNA", at positions 338 to 795 of the family's 1533-position model. The record is from RNAcentral. Lineage: Bacteria; Pseudomonadati; Pseudomonadota; Gammaproteobacteria; Oceanospirillales; Halomonadaceae.
CCUACGGGUGGCAGCAGUGGGGAAUAUUGGACUAUGGGCGAAAGCCUGAUCCAGCCAUGCCGCGUGUGUGAAGAAGGCCUUCGGGUUGUAAAGCACUUUCAGUGGGGAAGAAAGCCUUGGGGCUAAUACCCUCGAGGAAGGACAUCACCCACAGAAGAAGCACCGGCUAACUCCGUGCCAGCAGCCGCGGUAAUACGGAGGGUGCGAGCGUUAAUCGGAAUUACUGGGCGUAAAGCGCGCGUAGGCGGUCUGAUAAGCCGGUUGUGAAAGCCCCGGGCUCAACCUGGGAACGGCAUCCGGAACUGUCAGGCUAGAGUGCAGGAGAGGAAGGUAGAAUUCCCGGUGUAGCGGUGAAAUGCGUAGAGAUCGGGAGGAAUACCAGUGGCGAAGGCGGCCUUCUGGACUGACACUGACGCUGAGGUGCGAAAGCGUGGGUAGCAAACAGGAUUAGAUACCCUGGUAGUC